CGACCGGCACACGGGUGAGUAACACGUAUGCAACCUGCCCGUCUCAGGGGGAUAAUCGUCGGAAACGGCGUCUAAUACCCCGUAUGAAGCUGGAUGGCAUCGUCUGGUUUUGAAAGAAUAUCGGAGACGGAUGGGCAUGCGGCGCAUUAGCUAGUUGGCGGGGUAACGGCCCACCAAGGCGACGAUGCGUAGGGGUUCUGAGAGGAAGGUCCCCCACACUGGUACUGAGACACGGACCAGACUCCUACGGAAGGCAGCAG
This 260-nucleotide ribosomal RNA is filed under the name uncultured bacterium. RNAcentral describes it as "partial 16S ribosomal RNA". It matches the Rfam family "Bacterial small subunit ribosomal RNA", at positions 92 to 354 of the family's 1533-position model. The record is from RNAcentral.